GAGAGUCGAUAACACCCGAACGACCUGUGGGCUAACCUUUCAGGAGGCAGCAGUCGAAGGUGGGGUUGAUGAUUGGGGUGAAGUCGUAACAAGGUACC
RNAcentral lists this ribosomal RNA (98 nucleotides) under uncultured bacterium. Its description in RNAcentral is "partial 16S ribosomal RNA". The record is from RNAcentral.